RNAcentral lists this ribosomal RNA (505 nucleotides) under uncultured bacterium. RNAcentral's name for it is "partial 16S ribosomal RNA". It matches the Rfam family "Bacterial small subunit ribosomal RNA", at positions 28 to 507 of the family's 1533-position model. The record is from RNAcentral.
GACGAACGCUGGCGGCGUGCCUAAUACAUGCAAGUAGAACGCACAGUUUAUACCGUAGCUUGCUACACCAUAGACUGUGAGUUGCGAACGGGUGAGUAACGCGUAGGUAGCCUGCCUGGUAGCGGGGGAUAACUAUUGGAAACGAUAGCUAAUACCGCAUAAUAUUGAUUAUUGCAUGAUAAUUGAUUGAAAGAUGCUAUUGCAUCACUACCAGAUGGACCUGCGUUGUAUUAGCUAGUAGGUGAGGUAACGGCUCACCUAGGCGACGAUACAUAGCCGACCUGAGAGGGUGAUCGGCCACACUGGGACUGAGACACGGCCCAGACUCCUACGGGAGGCAGCAGUAGGGAAUCUUCGGCAAUGGACGAAAGUCUGACCGAGCAACGCCGCGUGAGUGAAGAAGGUUUUCGGAUCGUAAAGCUCUGUUGUAAGAGAAGAACGGGUGUGAGAGUGGAAAGUUCACACUGUGACGGUAUCUUACCAGAAAGGGACGGCUAACUACGUG